Non-coding RNA from Myotis davidii, 75 nucleotides. Lineage: Eukaryota; Metazoa; Chordata; Mammalia; Chiroptera; Vespertilionidae. The record is from Rfam.
GGCAGUUCUCAGGUGACGCACCCUGGAAUCGGGCUCCCUCCUCUCUGGUUCUGGGUGCAUCACCCGAGAACUGAG